AGUGGACGCUGGCGGUAGGCCUAACACAUGCAAGUCGAACGGCAGCACAGUAAGAGCUUGCUCUUACGGGUGGCGAGUGGCGGACGGGUGAUGAAUACAUCGGAAUCUACUUUUUCGUGGGGGAUAACGUAGGGAAACUUACGCUAAUACCGCAUACGACCUACGGGUGAAAGCAGGGGAUCUUCGGACCUUGCGCGAUUGAAUGAGCCGAUGUCGGAUUAGCUAGUUGGCGGGGUAAAGGCCCACCAAGGCGACGAUCCGUAGCUGGUCUGAGAGGAUGAUCAGCCACACUGGAACUGAGACACGGUCCAGACUCCUACGGGAGGCAGCAGUGGGGAAUAUUGGACAAUGGGCGCAAGCCUGAUCCAGCCAUACCGCGUGGGUGAAGAAGGCCUUCGGGUUGUAAAGCCCUUUUGUUGGGAAAGAAAAGCAGCAGGUUAAUACCCCGCUGUUCUGACGGUACCCAAAGAAUAAGCACCGGCUAACUUCGUG
Molecule: ribosomal RNA, 492 nt
Filed under: uncultured bacterium
Lineage: Bacteria
Description: partial 16S ribosomal RNA
Rfam family: Bacterial small subunit ribosomal RNA
Source: RNAcentral